UCGGAAUGUUACCCUACAGAGAUCUCGUG
RNAcentral lists this small RNA (29 nucleotides) under Bombyx mori (domestic silkworm). RNAcentral's name for it is "piRNA piR-bmo-1796951". The record is from RNAcentral. Lineage: Eukaryota; Metazoa; Arthropoda; Insecta; Lepidoptera; Bombycidae.